GAUGAACGCUGGCGGCGUGCCUAAUACAUGCAAGUCGAGCGAACAGACGAGGAGCUUGCUCCUCUGACGUUAGCGGCGGACGGGUGAGUAACACGUGGAUAACCUACCUAUAAGACUGGGAUAACUUCGGGAAACCGGAGCUAAUACCGGAUAAUAUAUUGAACCGCAUGGUUCAAUAGUGAAAGACGGUUUUGCUGUCACUUAUAGAUGGAUCCGCGCCGCAUUAGCUAGUUGGUAAGGUAACGGCUUACCAAGGCAACGAUGCGUAGCCGACCUGAGAGGGUGAUCGGCCACACUGGAACUGAGACACGGUCCAGACUCCUACGGGAGGCAGCAGCAGGGAAUCUUCCGCAAUGGGCGAAGGCCUGACGGAGCACCGCCGCGUGAGUGAUGAAGGUAUUCGGAUCGUAAAACUCUGUUAUUAGGGAAAAAAAGUUGUGUAAGUAACUAUGCACGUCUUGACGGUACCUAAUCCGAAAGCCACGGGUAACUACGUG
Molecule: ribosomal RNA, 497 nt
Filed under: uncultured bacterium
Lineage: Bacteria
Description: partial 16S ribosomal RNA
Rfam family: Bacterial small subunit ribosomal RNA
Source: RNAcentral